CGGGGGGCAGCAGUGGGGAAUAUUGGACAAUGGGGGCAACCCUGAUCCAGCAAUGCCGCGUGAAUGAUGAAGGCCUUAGGGUUGUAAAGUUCUUUUAUUGAUGACGAUAAUGACGGUAAUCAAUGAAUAAGCACCGGCUAACUUCGUGCCAGCAGCCGCGGUAAUACGAAGGGUGCUAGCGUUGUUCGGAAUGACUGGGCGUAAAGGGUGCGUAGGCGGCCAGAAACGUCUGAUGUGAAAUCCCUGGGCUUAACCUAGGAACUGCAUUGGAUACGGUCUGGCUAGAGUCCGCGAGAGGAAGAUGGAAUUGUGCGUGUAGAGGUGAAAUUCGUAGAUAUGCACAAGAACACCGGUGGCGAAGGCGAUCUUCUGGAGCGGUACUGACGCUAAGGCACGAAAGUGUGGGGAGCAAACAGGAUUAGAUACCCGAGU
This 432-nucleotide ribosomal RNA is filed under the name uncultured Rickettsiales bacterium. Its description in RNAcentral is "bacterial SSU rRNA". It matches the Rfam family "Bacterial small subunit ribosomal RNA", at positions 342 to 791 of the family's 1533-position model. The record is from RNAcentral. Lineage: Bacteria; Pseudomonadati; Pseudomonadota; Alphaproteobacteria; Rickettsiales.